AACGACUCUCGGCAACGGAUAUCUCGGCUCUCGCAUCGAUGAAGAACGUAGCGAAAUGCGAUACUUGGUGUGAAUUGCAGAAUCCCGCGAACCAUCGAGUCUUUGAACGCAAGUUGCGCCCGAAGCCAUUAGGCCGAGGGCACGUCUGGCUGGGUGUCACGCAAC
This 165-nucleotide ribosomal RNA is filed under the name Tessmannia anomala. Its description in RNAcentral is "5.8S ribosomal RNA". It matches the Rfam family "5.8S ribosomal RNA". From Rfam's summary of the family: 5.8S ribosomal RNA (5.8S rRNA) is a component of the large subunit of the eukaryotic ribosome. It is transcribed by RNA polymerase I as part of the 45S precursor that also contains 18S and 28S rRNA. Functionally, it is thought that 5.8S rRNA may be involved in ribosome translocation. Lineage: Eukaryota; Viridiplantae; Streptophyta; Magnoliopsida; Fabales; Fabaceae. The record is from RNAcentral.